UAGCUGCCGAGUCAUCCCUGGAC
RNAcentral lists this unclassified non-coding RNA (23 nucleotides) under Mus musculus (house mouse). RNAcentral describes it as "oocyte_clustered_small_RNA13598". Lineage: Eukaryota; Metazoa; Chordata; Mammalia; Rodentia; Muridae. The record is from RNAcentral.